UACGAGUGCUUCAAGCGUUAUCCGGAAUCAUUGGGCGUAAAGGGUGUGUAGGCGGCUCUGUUAGUCUCCCGUUAAAUCUUUCGGCUCAACCGAAGGCUCGCGGGGGAAACGGCAGGGCUUGAGGACGGGAGAGGUCUCUGGAACUCUAGGUGUAGCGGUGAAAUGCGUUGAUAUCUAGGGGAACACCGAAAGCGAAGGCAAGAGACUGGCCCGCUCCAGACGCUGAAACACGAAAGCGUGGGUCG
Molecule: ribosomal RNA, 245 nt
Filed under: uncultured bacterium
Lineage: Bacteria
Description: partial 16S ribosomal RNA
Rfam family: Bacterial small subunit ribosomal RNA
Source: RNAcentral